Molecule: non-coding RNA, 986 nt
Organism: Microcebus murinus (gray mouse lemur)
Lineage: Eukaryota; Metazoa; Chordata; Mammalia; Primates; Cheirogaleidae
Source: RefSeq, a predicted model, not a curated record
CCUGGCAAUCACACCCUUAUGUGUCUACCUCCUACAUGGUUCCAGGGUCUGUCUGUGUGACCAAUGGCAUAUGGAAGAAAGCAUGGUUAUCAUUUCCAGGAUUUGGUUAUUAAAGUCUGCAGCCUAUCCUGAGUACUCUCUUACUCAUUUUCUCUCUUGGAUUACUCUCUGGGGGGAGCCAGCUGCCACAUCUUGAUGUCGAUCGGACAGGCUAUGGAGAUGCCCAGAUGGUAAGGAAUGAGGACCCCCCUCUAGCAGCCCCCAAGGAAUUGAAGCCUGCCACAAUCAGGAAAAAAAAGAAAGAAAGAACAGAAAGAAGAACCUCAAAAGGAGCUUCUCUAUUAUCAUUAAGAAUUUCAGGACCUAUUGAAGAAAUGAAUCAUGUUUUAGAGAAUUAAAUUCUGAUCACUUCUGUUUCUUCUUUGGGAAAAGUGGGUGCAUAUACUGGAAAUAUUCAUAAAAGCUUUCAAGGAGAUACAAGACCUGGGAAGGCCAGAAUCAGGCCAAUGGCAGUGGAAAUUAUACUGCCAAUCCCUGGAUAUUUUCCUGAAACUUCAGGAAACAGUUCCAGGGGACAGAAGGGGGAAGGAAAUCAAUGUCUAUCGAGUGUCUAAUACAGUUCCUGGGAAGUUUCCAACAGCCCAUUAUGAAGUACCUCCCUUCCACUGGAGGCAUGAUGCGAACCAGAAAGCUGAGGUGUUGCAGGCCUUCUUCAGCAGGGCAGUAUUUCCUGUCUUUGGCCUAUUUUCCUUGGGCCAAGCUCCUCAGAGGUCUUGGCUUCCCCACCAAAGGGACCUGGGAUCAUCAGGCAAUAAUUCUCCGAUUUAUUGCUCCUGUUCUACAUUCCUGACCUCUGACUAUUUGCAGACAUGGGGACCAGCUUUCCAAAGCCCGGCAUAAGCUGCUUUAAUUUUAUCAUUGUCCUAUAAUUUCAUGGAAAUGGCUGCUGCGAAGCCAACAAAUGACUAAUAAAAUCCCUCUGCCCA